Molecule: long non-coding RNA, 984 nt
Filed under: Capra hircus (goat)
Lineage: Eukaryota; Metazoa; Chordata; Mammalia; Artiodactyla; Bovidae
Description: lncRNA (ENSCHIG00010007464.1)
Source: RNAcentral
GAUUUUCCAGGCAAAAGUACUGGAGUGGGGUGCCAUUGCCUUCUCCAUGUCCUAGCUAUUGUAAAUAGUGUUGCAGUGAAUAUUGGGGUACAUGUGUCUUUUUCAAUUAUGGCUUCCUCAGGGUAUAUGCCCAGUAGUGGGAUUGUUAGGCCAUAUGGUAGUUUUAUUUGGUGGGAAUGUAAAUUGAUAUAGCCGUUAUGGAGCAUGGUAUAGAGAUUCCUUAAAAAACUAGAGCUGAGAUUCUUGAUGGGAGUGAGGCAGGUUGUCAGCUUUUGAGGCAAAAGAAUGGAGAGCAGCAUCUCACUUUCUCAAAAAGGAGCCCUAGACUUUUGUUGUACUACCCUCUGUGAUUAUGCAUCCAUAUGUCCCAAGGCCAAGACUUGGAGAGGAAUCAGCAACGUGUUUUCUCAGGGGUGGUUCAGCAGCUCUGUCCUGUCGUCAAGGAUGGAUGUCCUCACUGUGGUGUCAACGUCUCCAUCUGUGGCCAGCAGAUGGCUGCAGCAGCUGCAAGGACCACAUCCUUUCAUGGCAACUUCCAGGAGCACCUUGAGAGUGGGGGGCUCUCUACAUGGGUGUCUCCUCCCUUAUCAUGAAGGCAGUUGCAUCCUCGCCAUCUGCCAGCACGUCCUUUACAUCUCAUCAGCCAGGACUGGGUCGAGCGGCCAUCUCCAGCCAGAAGAGCAGUUAGGAAAAUUGGUAACUGGUGCUUCCUGCCACCAGAAUGGAAGCAGACAUACCAAGGGAAAUAGAUCUGUCAAUGGCUGGCACAUGGUCAGCCAAGAGCCAUUUUUAAUUCGAGGUCUUUUGAGCUUCUGUAUAAAUUUUAAGAUUAUUUAUUCUAAUUCUGUGGAAAAUGUCAUGGGUAUUUUGAUAGGGAUCGCAUUAAAUUUGCAGAUUGUUUUGGGUAGUAUGGCUGUGUUAACAAUAGUAAUCCUUCAAAUACAAGAGCAUGAGUUAUCUUUCCAUUUCUUUAAAUCAUAUUAA